AAUUCGUUUUAGAUAAUUUUUCUAGCAUUCGCACCCAUUCUGUCUCUUAAUCAGGUUAGAUUGAAUCGAUGGGUCAAAAAAACUUGCCACCCUUACAAUCAAGUAUUUAUUUCAUUAAUACCAUGAUAUUAUCCAUCCAUGGAAAAGAUACGAUGGAUUUCAGGGCUUAGAACCAAUUUCUCCAUAUUUCGAAACAAUCACUUUGUAGAUGCAUGCGCUUCAGGUGGAGAAAAGAAAAAUAUUUAUAUGUACUUAAAAUUAUACACUCACAAUAGCAGAAGCAGCUAA
RNAcentral lists this long non-coding RNA (288 nucleotides) under Elaeis guineensis (African oil palm). RNAcentral's name for it is "long non-coding RNA (EGUI_LNC027446)". Lineage: Eukaryota; Viridiplantae; Streptophyta; Magnoliopsida; Arecales; Arecaceae. The record is from RNAcentral.